RNAcentral lists this ribosomal RNA (444 nucleotides) under uncultured bacterium. Its description in RNAcentral is "partial 16S ribosomal RNA". It matches the Rfam family "Bacterial small subunit ribosomal RNA", at positions 338 to 795 of the family's 1533-position model. The record is from RNAcentral.
CCUACGGGGUGCAGCAGUGAGGAAUAUUGGUCAAUGGGCUUACGCCUGAACCAGCCAAGUCGCGUGAGGGAAGACUGCCCUAUGGGUUGUAAACUUCUUUUAUUCGGGACGAAACAAAUGACGGUACCGAAUGAAUAAGCCACGGCUAACUACGUGCCAGCAGCCGCGGUAAUACGUAGGUGGCAAGCGUUAUCCGGAUUUACUGGGUGUAAAGGGCGUGUAGGCGGGAGAGCAAGUCAGACGUGAAAUUCCAGGGCUCAACCCUGGAACUGCGUUUGAAACUGUUCUUCUUGAGUGAUGGAGAGGCAGGCGGAAUUCCGUGUGUAGCGGUGAAAUGCGUAGAUAUACGGAGGAACACCAGUGGCGAAGGCGGCCUGCUGGACAUUAACUGACGCUGAGGCGCGAAAGCGUGGGGAGCAAACAGGAUUAGAUACCCGAGUAGUC